Molecule: ribosomal RNA, 253 nt
Filed under: uncultured bacterium
Lineage: Bacteria
Description: partial 16S ribosomal RNA
Rfam family: Bacterial small subunit ribosomal RNA
Source: RNAcentral
UACGGAGGGUGCAAGCGUUAAUCGGAAUCACUGGGCGUAAAGCGCGCGUAGGCGGCUUUGUAAGUCAGAUGUGAAAGCCCACCGCUCAACGGUGGAAUUGCAUUUGAUACUGCAUCGCUAGAGUUUGGGAGAGGAUAGUGGAAUUUCAGGUGUAGGAGUGAAAUCCGUAGAGAUCUGAAGGAACAUCAGUGGCGAAGGCGACUAUCUGGACCAAUACUGACGCUGAGGUGCGAAAGCGUGGGGAGCAAACAGG